CCUACGGGUGGCAGCAGUGGGGAAUAUUGGACAAUGGGGGGAACCCUGAUCCAGCCAUGCCGCGUGUGUGAAGAAGGCCCUCGGGUUGUAAAGCACUUUCAGUGAGGAAGAACGCCUGGUGGUUAAUACCCAUCAGGAAAGACAUCACUCACAGAAGAAGCACCGGCUAACUCCGUGCCAGCAGCCGCGGUAAUACGGAGGGUGCGAGCGUUAAUCGGAAUUACUGGGCGUAAAGCGCGCGUAGGUGGCUUGAUAAGCCGGUUGUGAAAGCCCCGGGCUCAACCUGGGAACGGCAUCCGGAACUGUCAAGCUAGAGUGCAGGAGAGGAAGGUAGAAUUCCCGGUGUAGCGGUGAAAUGCGUAGAGAUCGGGAGGAAUACCAGUGGCGAAGGCGGCCUUCUGGACUGACACUGACGCUGAGGUGCGAAAGCGUGGGUAGCAAACAGGAUUAGAUACCCGGGUAGUC
This 465-nucleotide ribosomal RNA is filed under the name Vreelandella stevensii. RNAcentral describes it as "partial 16S ribosomal RNA". It matches the Rfam family "Bacterial small subunit ribosomal RNA", at positions 338 to 795 of the family's 1533-position model. Lineage: Bacteria; Pseudomonadati; Pseudomonadota; Gammaproteobacteria; Oceanospirillales; Halomonadaceae. The record is from RNAcentral.